CCAAAAAAGGGGUGUGGUGACACCAGACCGGUCACUCCUAUGAUAACAAACAGAAAACUUGAGCAAACUUU
Caenorhabditis elegans is the source of this 71-nucleotide non-coding RNA. NCBI's taxonomy places the organism in Eukaryota, Metazoa, Nematoda, Chromadorea, Rhabditida, Rhabditidae. The record is from Ensembl.